Molecule: long non-coding RNA, 253 nt
Organism: Aquila chrysaetos chrysaetos
Lineage: Eukaryota; Metazoa; Chordata; Aves; Accipitriformes; Accipitridae
Exons: 3
Source: RefSeq, a predicted model, not a curated record
AAGCAGUGCAAGCAGAGAAUCUGCUCCCAUUUUCUGAGGCAUCAACAAACACAGUUCAGAACAGUAAGGAAAGCCCUCGUCUCUGGUUCUGUAUAUUUUUGUUUAAUACAAGUAUUAAGUACCUCUGAGUUUUGUAACAUGUUUUAUUAAAACAAUGCUAAAGAACAUAUUUCUUAAAAGCGAGUCUUAAUUUUAUAAGACAAUUUUCUCUUGCAUAUCAAAACUGCAGGGAAAACACAAACAGAAAGAAAAG